Long non-coding RNA from Asparagus officinalis (garden asparagus), 472 nucleotides. RefSeq lists it as uncharacterized. NCBI's taxonomy places the organism in Eukaryota, Viridiplantae, Streptophyta, Magnoliopsida, Asparagales, Asparagaceae. The transcript is spliced from 2 exons. The record is from RefSeq and is a predicted model, not a curated record.
AACAGUAGUACUGAAGAUUUUGAGCGGCUUCAACUAAAGUAUCCCAAAACAAAAUGGGCGAAAGCCCUCUCUUCUCACUCCGAAACCCUAAUAAGCUAUCGGACGAUGACAUCGCUUCUCCUUCAAUCUCAAUGCUCUGCGGAAUUCUUCUAGAAGAUGGAUAUCAACUCUAAUGGGGUAGAUCUUUCACAUGAGUUGCUGAACAUGGCAUCAAAUUGGAAACAUUGAGCUCAUAAUCUGUCACGAAGUAGCCAAAUUUGUCUCACUAAACAUUGAAUACUUGUCAAACACUAUCUAAUUAUAUAUGGAGAGAUGGAUUGUUUCGCAGUUACAUGGAACCAACUUGUAUCAUAUUGAGUUUGUACUCUAUGUGAGACGUGGAUAAUUUGUAUUUGGAGGUACAACUGUUUUGUGUUUCGAGGAGGCAACUUUCUUGAGUUACUAAAGGAUUAUGAUUAUUUUUAUGCACUAA